RNAcentral lists this ribosomal RNA (460 nucleotides) under uncultured bacterium. RNAcentral describes it as "partial 16S ribosomal RNA". It matches the Rfam family "Bacterial small subunit ribosomal RNA", at positions 338 to 795 of the family's 1533-position model. The record is from RNAcentral.
CCUACGGGAGGCUGCAGUGAGGAAUAUUGGUCAAUGGACGAGAGUCUGAACCAGCCAAGUAGCGUGAAGGAUGACUGCCCUAUAGGUUGUAAACUUCUUUUAUAUGGGAAUAAAAUGUUCCACGUGUGGGAUUUUGUAUGUACCAUAUGACUAAGGAUCGGCUAACUCCGUGCCAGCAGCCGCGGUAAUACGGAGGAUCCGAGCGUUAUCCGGAUUUAUUGGGUUUAAAGGGAGCGUAGGUGGAUUGUUAAGUCAGUUGUGAAAGUUUGCGGCUCAACCGUAAAAUUGCAGUUGAAACUGGCAGUCUUGAGUACAGUAGAGGUGGGCGGAAUUCGUGGUGUAGCGGUGAAAUGCUUAGAUAUCACGAAGAACUCCGAUUGCGAAGGCAGUUCACUGGACUGCAACUGACACUGAGGCUCGAAAGUGUGGGUAUCAAACAGGAUUAGAUACCCCAGUAGUC